AUUGAACGCUGGCGGCAGGCCUAACACAUGCAAGUCGAGCGGAUGAAGGGAGCUUGCUCCUGGAUUCAGCGGCGGACGGGUGAGUAAUGCCUAGGAAUCUGCCUGGUAGUGGGGUAUAACGUCCGGAAACGGGCGCUAAUACCGCAUACGUCCUGAUGGAGAAAGUGGGGGAUCUUCGGACCUCACGCUAUCAGAUGAGCCUAGGUCGGAUUAGCUAGUUGGUGGGGUAAAGGCCUACCAAGGCGACGAUCCGUAACUGGUCUGAGAGGAUGAUCAGUCACACUGGAACUGGGACACGGUCAAGAGUACUAAGGGAGGCAGCAGUGGGGAAUGUUAGACAGUAGGCGAGAGCCUGAUACAGCCAUGCCGCGUGUGUGAAGAAGGUGUUCGGAUUGGAAAGCACUUUAAGUUGGGAGGAAGGGCAGUAAGCUGAUACCUUGCUGUUUUGACGGUAACAACAGAAUAAGCACCGGCUAACUUCGUG
Molecule: ribosomal RNA, 484 nt
Filed under: uncultured bacterium
Lineage: Bacteria
Description: partial 16S ribosomal RNA
Rfam family: Bacterial small subunit ribosomal RNA
Source: RNAcentral